AUGCAAGUCGAACGAAGCCUUCGGGCUUAGUGGCGAACGGGUGCGUAACGCGUGGGAACCUGCCCUUAGGUCCGGAAUAACAGUUAGAAAUGACUGCUAAUGCCGGAUAAUGUCUUCGGACCAAAGAUUUAUCGCCUUUGGAUGGGCCCGCGUAGGAUUAGGUAGUUGGUGUGGUAACGGCGCACCAAGCCGACGAUCCUUAGCUGGUCUGAGAGGAUGAUCAGCCACACUGGGACUGAGACACGGCCCAGACUCCUACGGGAGGCAGCAGUAGGGAAUAUUGGACAAUGGGCGAAAGCCUGAUCCAGCAAUGCCGCGUGAGUGAUGAAGGCCUUAGGGUUGUAAAGCUCUUUUACUGGGGAUGAUAAUGACAGUACCCAGAGAAUAAGCUCCGGCUAACUCCGUGCCAGCAGCCGCGGUAAUACGGAGGGAGCUAGCGUUGUUCGGAAUUACUGGGCGUAAAGCGCGCGUAGGCGGCUAUCCAAGUCAGGGGUGAAAUCCCGGGGCUCAACCCCGGAACUGCCCUUGAAACUAGGUGGCUAGAAUACUGGAGAGGUGAGUGGAAUUCCGAGUGUAGAGGUGAAAUUCGUAGAUAUUCGGAA
This 602-nucleotide ribosomal RNA is filed under the name Citromicrobium sp. MED531. RNAcentral describes it as "bacterial SSU rRNA". It matches the Rfam family "Bacterial small subunit ribosomal RNA", at positions 55 to 703 of the family's 1533-position model. Lineage: Bacteria; Pseudomonadati; Pseudomonadota; Alphaproteobacteria; Sphingomonadales; Sphingomonadaceae. The record is from RNAcentral.